AUGAACGCUGGCGGCGUGCCUCAUACAUGCAAGUCGAGCGAACAGAUGAGGAGCUUGCUCCUCUGACGUUAGCGGCGGACGGGUGAGUAACACGUGGAUAACCUACCUAUAAGACUGGGAUAACUUCGGGAAACCGGAGCUAAUACCGGAUAAUAUAUUGAACCGCAUGGUUCAAUAGUGAAAGACGGUUUUGCUGUCACUUAUAGAUGGAUCCGCGCCGCAUUAGCUAGUUGGUAAGGUAACGGCUUACCAAGGCAACGAUGCGUAGCCGACCUGAGAGGGUGAUCGGCCACACUGGAACUGAGACACGGUCCAGACUCCUACGGGAGGCAGCAGUAGGGAAUCUUCCGCAAUGGGCGAAAGCCUGACGGAGCAACGCCGCGUGAGUGAUGAAGGUCUUCGGAUCGUAAAACUCUGUUAUUAGGGAAGAACAAAUGUGUAAGUAACUAUGCACGUCCUGACGGUACCUAAUCAGAAAGCCACGGCUAACUACGUG
RNAcentral lists this ribosomal RNA (496 nucleotides) under uncultured bacterium. RNAcentral's name for it is "partial 16S ribosomal RNA". It matches the Rfam family "Bacterial small subunit ribosomal RNA", at positions 29 to 507 of the family's 1533-position model. The record is from RNAcentral.